UUGACGCCCAUAAAUCCCCACCGCGUUUCCAUAUGUAGGGGACCCCCAUUUUGGUGGCGGGAAAAAACUAACCACCAGCAGCAGCCAUCAAUGGCAGCCAUAGGUUGAUUGAGAUGAGACAUUGAACAACAGAGAGGUGGUACCUGGAUAAGCUGCAGCCGUGCGGCUGCCAUCGAAAUUUGAGAUACAUCAAGUCAGGACGGCCAUUGUUAACACAAUUGAAUUCCUUUUCGAGGAAUGGGCACGUGGAUACGUUGUACAGCGGGUAUGAUUCAUCCACUAUCCAAUUUCCCUGGAACAUGUCACAGCCGAUUGCCACAACUGAUGGCGAUAAAAUGCUGAUGACGAUAAGGAAGAACACUCGCAAAUUGGGGUUUAUGUUCGACUUCAUUUUCGAAGCUGCAGAGAGAUAAGGGGGGGAAGAAGAAGAAUGAAAAGCCCCUUUUUUAUUCCGUGAAUGAGUGUGGUGGAGAGUCGAAUUUAUAGGGUGACGUUUUAAUUAUGUGAUUAUAUUUUUGUAAUAUAUUUUGAGUUAAAUGCAUUUUACCCUCUCUCAUUUGGGGGGCAAUUUUGGCCCAAAGCCUUCAAAGUGA
This 593-nucleotide long non-coding RNA is filed under the name Helianthus annuus (common sunflower). Its description in RNAcentral is "sRNA HanXRQr2_Chr15g0716541". Lineage: Eukaryota; Viridiplantae; Streptophyta; Magnoliopsida; Asterales; Asteraceae. The record is from RNAcentral.